GCUGGGUGUGGUGGCACACACCUGUAAUCCCAGCUACUUGGGAGGCUGAGGCAGGAGAAUUGCUUGAGCCUGGAAGACGGAGGUUGCAGUGAGCUGAGAUCGUGCCACUGCACUCCAGCCUGGCCAAUAGAGCGAGACUCUGCCUCAA
RNAcentral lists this non-coding RNA (148 nucleotides) under Pan paniscus (pygmy chimpanzee). The record is from Rfam by way of RNAcentral. RNAcentral also lists the same sequence under 1 other name. Lineage: Eukaryota; Metazoa; Chordata; Mammalia; Primates; Hominidae.